AUUCCUCUCUUCUUUUAGCAUUUCGGAAGAGCUUUAAAGGCUCCAUUCUUCUACCGAGUCAAAGCAAAGUGUGGACCCCAAUGUCACAAAGAUCGAAGAACUUGAAGAAAUAGAUUAGGAAUUCCUUCAUUUUAUUAAGUUGUAUUUAUUUUGGGCAUAAGCCCUUGUCAUUUUUACUUUCCUUGUAUUUAUUCUUGUAUGUCUAGACUAGGACAGGUACAAAAGAAAGAAAUGGGUCGAAAACCCAA
Molecule: unclassified non-coding RNA, 248 nt
Filed under: Hevea brasiliensis (rubber tree)
Lineage: Eukaryota; Viridiplantae; Streptophyta; Magnoliopsida; Malpighiales; Euphorbiaceae
Source: RNAcentral